This 408-nucleotide ribosomal RNA is filed under the name uncultured bacterium. Its description in RNAcentral is "bacterial SSU rRNA". It matches the Rfam family "Bacterial small subunit ribosomal RNA", at positions 504 to 911 of the family's 1533-position model. The record is from RNAcentral.
UGUGCCAGCCGCCGCGGUAAUACGGAGGGUGCAAGCGUUAAUCGGAAUUACUGGGCGUAAAGCGCACGCAGGCGGUUUGUUAAGUCAGAUGUGAAAUCCCCGGGCUCAACCUGGGAACUGCAUCUGAUACUGGCAAGCUUGAGUCUCGUAGAGGGGGGUAGAAUUCCAGGUGUAGCGGUGAAAUGCGUAGAGAUCUGGAGGAAUACCGGUGGCGAAGGCGGCCCCCUGGACGAAGACUGACGCUCAGGUGCGAAAGCGUGGGGAGCAAACAGGAUUAGAUACCCUGGUAGUCCACGCCGUAAACGAUGUCGACUUGGAGGUUGUGCCCUUGAGGCGUGGCUUCCGGAGCUAACGCGUUAAGUCGACCGCCUGGGGAGUACGGCCGCAAGGUUAAAACUCAAAUGAAUU